This 77-nucleotide transfer RNA is filed under the name Geothrix sp. RNAcentral's name for it is "tRNA-Arg". It matches the Rfam family "tRNA". From Rfam's summary of the family: Transfer RNA (tRNA) molecules are approximately 80 nucleotides in length. Their secondary structure includes four short double-helical elements and three loops (D, anti-codon, and T loops). Lineage: Bacteria; Pseudomonadati; Acidobacteriota; Holophagae; Holophagales; Holophagaceae. RNAcentral also lists the same sequence under 7 other names. The record is from RNAcentral.
GUACCCGUAGCUCAGUUGGAUAGAGCGUUGGCCUCCGAAGCCAAAGGUCGCUGGUUCGAUUCCAGUCGGGUGCACCA